This is a long non-coding RNA of Dermacentor albipictus, 540 nucleotides long. RefSeq lists it as uncharacterized. The record is from RefSeq and is a predicted model, not a curated record. Lineage: Eukaryota; Metazoa; Arthropoda; Arachnida; Ixodida; Ixodidae.
UUCCUGGAACAGGCCGCACAAUUUGUCGCUGAUCACUGGUUUGAUAAGAGUGGUGCCGAGGCACUUGAAUUGGUGGUUUCCCACCCUCUUUUGCCGUCGAGAAUACAGCAUCUGAUGACCGUCGACGAGUUGUAAGCAGCCAGGCAGAUACGGAAAGCGAUUGUCGACCUGCAAGAUCUAGACAUCUUCAUGGGAGCCACCGAUUGCCAGCAGAUUGCUGGCUUGCCAUUCGUCGGUACUCAGGCGUGACGGACGUGCUGGAUCUAGGGCCUCGCAGGUGCCUGGGAUCUUAAACUGCAGUUCAGGGCGUGAACACACCGGUGAUGACAAUCUUCUUGCUGCUCGUUGGGAUACUGUGGAAAAGCCGGACGUCUCCUGCCAAUGCUGCUUGACACAAUGCGUCACCUGAACUAUAGUGAAAGAAGACCGCAAAUUUUUUCUGCGAUUUCUCGCUUUUCUAGCAAGUGCGAGGUUUCGCGCAUACUAUUUAUUUGGCAAAAAUAAUUGUAUUUUUCUGACCUAAGAGUUUCGAGGUCACGU